UGGCCGUAAACGAUGUGGACUUGGUGUUGGAAUGGCUCCGAGCUGCUCCAGUGCCGAAGGGAAGCUGUUAAGUCCACCGCCUGGGAAGUACGGUCGCAAGACUGAAACUUAAGGAAUUGGCGGGGGGCGACCACAACGCGUGGAGCCUGCGGUUUAAUUGGAUUCAACGCCGGACAUCUCACCAGGGGCGGACAGCAGAAUGAUGGCCAGGUUGAUGACCUUGCUUGACAAGCUGAGAGGAGGUGCAUGGCGUGUG
Molecule: ribosomal RNA, 256 nt
Filed under: uncultured archaeon
Lineage: Archaea
Description: partial 16S ribosomal RNA
Rfam family: Archaeal small subunit ribosomal RNA
Source: RNAcentral